Molecule: ribosomal RNA, 442 nt
Filed under: uncultured bacterium
Lineage: Bacteria
Description: partial 16S ribosomal RNA
Rfam family: Bacterial small subunit ribosomal RNA
Source: RNAcentral
CCUACGGGGGGCAGCAGUAGGGAAUCUUUCACAAUGGGCGAAAGCCUGAUGGAGCAACGCCGCGUGCAGGAUGCAGGCCUUCGGGUUGUAAACUGCUUUUAUAAGCGAGAAAUAUGAUGGUAACUUAUGAAUAAGGAUCGGCUAACUACGUGCCAGCAGCCGCGGUCAUACGUAGGAUCCGAGCAUUAUCCGGAGUGACUGGGUGUAAAGAGUUGCGUAGGUGGCAUAAUAAGUAGCUAGUGAAAUCUGGUGGCUCAACCAUUCAGACUAUUAGCUAAACUGUUAAGCUCGAGACCGUUAGGGGUAACUGGAAUUUCUAGUGUAGGAGUGAAAUCCGUAGAUAUUAGAAGGAACACCAAUAGCGUAGGCAGGUUGCUGGGACGGUUCUGACACUAAGGCACGAAAGCGUAGGGAGCAAACGGGAUUAGAUACCCGUGUAGUC